Pelobates cultripes (western spadefoot toad) is the source of this 231-nucleotide non-coding RNA. Lineage: Eukaryota; Metazoa; Chordata; Amphibia; Anura; Pelobatidae. The record is from the annotation of a GenBank genome assembly.
AUUAAUGUGUUUAUUUCAUAACAUGGGAUUGCCUUUGUAUCUAAAUAAAUAUUUUGUUUGCUCAAGUGUUAAAGCUGCCGAUAGGCAGUGUAUGACUGUUUGUGUUUGACUUUGCAGAAUUGUCUGAAUUUGUCUUUGAAAAAUGUUUGUGCUUGUGCAUAUGUGUUUCUUCAUGCAUAAAAGUUGGUGUUGCUGCCUGAAUGAUUUUGAAUGUAUUUAUGUGAAUGAAUC